Molecule: ribosomal RNA, 795 nt
Filed under: uncultured bacterium
Lineage: Bacteria
Description: bacterial SSU rRNA
Rfam family: Bacterial small subunit ribosomal RNA
Source: RNAcentral
ACUGGGCGUAAAGAGCUCGUAGGUGGUUUGUCGCGUCGUUUGUGUAAGCCCGCAGCUUAACUGCGGGACUGCAGGCGAUACGGGCAUAACUUGAGUGCUGUACGGGAGACUGGAAUUCCUGGUGUAGCGGUGGAAUGCGCAGAUAUCAGGAGGAACACCGAUGGCGAAGGCAGGUCUCUGGGCAGUAACUGACGCUGAGGAGCGAAAGCAUGGGUAGCGAACAGGAUUAGAUACCCUGGUAGUCCAUGCCGUAAACGGUGGGCGCUAGGUGUGAGUCCCUUCCACGGGGUUCGUGCCGUAGCUAACGCAUUAAGCGCCCCGCCUGGGGAGUACGGCCGCAAGGCUAAAACUCAAAGGAAUUGACGGGGGCCCGCACAAGCGGCGGAGCAUGUGGAUUAAUUCGAUGCAACGCGAAGAACCUUACCUGGGCUUGACAUACACCAGAUCGCCGUAGAGAUACGGUUUCCCUUUGUGGUUGGUGUACAGGUGGUGCAUGGUUGUCGUCAGCUCGUGUCGUGAGAUGUUGGGUUAAGUCCCGCAACGAGCGCAACCCUUGUCUUAUGUUGCCAGCACGUUAUGGUGGGGACUCGUGAGAGACUGCCGGGGUUAACUCGGAGGAAGGUGGGGAUGACGUCAAAUCAUCAUGCCCCUUAUGUCCAGGGCUUCACACAUGCUACAAUGGUCGGUACAACGCGUCUGCGAGCCUGUGAGGGUGAGCUAAUCGCUGUAAAGCCGGUCGUAGUUCGGAUUGGGGUCUGCAACUCGACCCCAUGAAGUCGGAGUCGCUAGUAAUCG